This 485-nucleotide ribosomal RNA is filed under the name uncultured bacterium. Its description in RNAcentral is "partial 16S ribosomal RNA". It matches the Rfam family "Bacterial small subunit ribosomal RNA", at positions 28 to 506 of the family's 1533-position model. The record is from RNAcentral.
AUUGAACGCUGGCGGCAUGCCUUACACAUGCAAGUCGAACGGCAGCACGGGUGCUUGCACCUGGUGGCGAGUGGCGAACGGGUGAGUAAUACAUCGGAACAUGUCCUGUAGUGGGGGAUAGCCCGGCGAAAGCCGGAUUAAUACCGCAUACGAUCCACGGAUGAAAGCGGGGGACCUUCGGGCCUCGCGCUAUAGGGUUGGCCGAUGGCUGAUUAGCUAGUUGGUGGGGUAAAGGCCUACCAAGGCGACGAUCAGUAGCUGGUCUGAGAGGACGACCAGCAACACUGGGCCUGGGCCGCGGCCCAGGCUCCUACGGGGGGCCGGAGGGGGGAAUUUAGGGCAUAGGGGGAAGGCCUGUUCCAGCAACGCCGUGUGUGUGAAGAAGAUUUCGGGGUGGUAAAGCUCUUUUUUCAGGAAAUAAACCCUUCACCUUAAUACAGUGGGGGUGUGGGGUUCCCGGAAGGAUCAGCCCCGGCCAAUUACGU